GUUUGUCAAAGUUUACAACGAGGGAUGCUUCCUCUAAUUCCCAUAACGCUGUAUCACUAAAGAACGAGACUGCAUUCGCACGUCAAGUAAAGAAAUUCUUAGCAACAUCAAACCAAUAAAAGAAUAAGCAGUUUCCCGUUCCCUCUUAUACAUAAUGACGUAGCUAGUUUAGUGAGAAUAAAAAGUUGUAUCAUUAGUUUUAAAGUAUGAAAACCAAUUUGACUAGCUAAUAAAACACCUGUUAGGUUAGUAGUAGACUUAACCUUUGCACCUCUAACAAAAAAUUAUGGUACAAAUAAAAUCAUUUAAAUAUUGAA
Molecule: long non-coding RNA, 317 nt
Organism: Xenia sp. Carnegie-2017
Lineage: Eukaryota; Metazoa; Cnidaria; Anthozoa; Malacalcyonacea; Xeniidae
Exons: 2
Source: RefSeq, a predicted model, not a curated record